Molecule: ribosomal RNA, 756 nt
Filed under: Aliarcobacter skirrowii
Lineage: Bacteria; Pseudomonadati; Campylobacterota; Epsilonproteobacteria; Campylobacterales; Arcobacteraceae
Description: bacterial SSU rRNA
Rfam family: Bacterial small subunit ribosomal RNA
Source: RNAcentral
UGCUUUGAAAACUGUUGAUCUAGAAUGUGGGAGAGGUAGAUGGAAUUUCUGGUGUAGGGGUAAAAUCCGUAGAGAUCAGAAGGAAUACCGAUUGCGAAGGCGAUUUACUGGAACACAAUUGACGCUGAGAUGCGAAAGCGUGGGGAGCAAACAGGAUUAGAUACCCUGGUAGUCCACGCCCUAAACGAUGUACACUAGUUGUUGUGAGACUAGAUCUUGCAGUAAUGUAGUUAACACAUUAAGUGUACCGCCUGGGGAGUACGGUCGCAAGAUUAAAACUCAAAGGAAUAGACGGGGACCCGCACAAGCGGUGGAGCAUGUGGUUUAAUUCGACGAUACACGAAGAACCUUACCUGGACUUGACAUAGUAAGAACUUUCUAGAGAUAGAUUGGUGUCUGCUUGCAGAAACUUAUAUACAGGUGCUGCACGGCUGUCGUCAGCUCGUGUCGUGAGAUGUUGGGUUAAGUCCCGCAACGAGCGCAACCCUCGUGUUUAGUUGCUAACAGUUCGGCUGAGAACUCUAAACAGACUGCCUACGCAAGUAGGAGGAAGGUGAGGACGACGUCAAGUCAUCAUGGCCCUUACGUCCAGGGCUACACACGUGCUACAAUGGGAUAUACAAAGAGCCGCAAUACGGUGACGUGGAGCAAAUCUUAUAAAAUAUCUCCCAGUUCGGAUUGUAGUCUGCAACUCGACUACAUGAAGUUGGAAUCGCUAGUAAUCGUAGAUCAGCUAUGCUACGGUGAAUACGUUCC